AUAGUACUUGCUGCUGCUGGAGGUAAGUUUAAAUUUCUACGACUAUUUUAAACAGUGAUAUGCUUAUCAGUUUGAUCCUGUUGGGAGAUAUCUUUAGAGUUUUCAUUUACAGAGCAAAUUGUUUAGUAUGCUGGGUAAGGGCAAUGCGGAACACUGAAACUGGACUUCCCCCGUCUUCUCUUUACUUAGUAGAGUUUUUUAAUAGGAAAGCUUAGUGACCCUCUAGUAUAUAAGUGUACAUACAUAAUGGAAUUUACUUGCAAGGAAAGGGCAGAUGGGUGAGCUGGAAGAUAAUGACAGUGGAAGAUAGUGUUCAACAGUUUGGGAAUCUCUUGAGAUUUUAAAUUAUUUCUUGAGAACUAGCUUCAUCCUUGGUCAGGCAUGGCCCGAGUAUGUUACGUUGUUUAUUCAUUCUUUGAUCUGUUCGUUCAUUCAGUAGAUCUGCUAAUUACUGAGAAGGGGAAGUAUACAAGGGAUUUUGAGACUAUUUAAUGGGAAUUUGAACAUGAAAGUGGCAUGAGGACAAGGCCUCCUUGGAGGAACAG
RNAcentral lists this long non-coding RNA (545 nucleotides) under Bos taurus (domestic cattle). Its description in RNAcentral is "long non-coding RNA NONBTAT019532". The record is from RNAcentral. Lineage: Eukaryota; Metazoa; Chordata; Mammalia; Artiodactyla; Bovidae.